CUACACACUAUAUUUCAUUUGUUCCCUAGCCUUUGAAUAAUGCAAUCUAACUGGAUUUCAGUCUUUCUACAGAUGACUUUUAUACACUAUGUGACUUGUCAGCAUUAUCAGACGGCUUAUGUGGUGGAGGGAAAUACAGCUUCUCUAAAAUGUAUGUACACGGAAAGUACUAUCAACUCUCUGAAAUGGUAUCGCCAGUAUCCAGGAGGGAAACCAGAUGAAAUCAUGACUAUUUUUACUGAUGGGAACAGAACAGAAGGAAGAUUCACAGCUGAGCUCCAGAAGAAGGACAAAACCAGUUUCCUCUUUAUACCAAACACACGUGUGACUGAUUCUCAAUUUUAUGUCUGUGCAACUGAGGCACAGUGUGAGACAUCCUAUGGCAGCCAGUGCAAGAACACUGUGCCGUUUGGUGCUUGUGUCUCAAUGAGUACUGUUGUUUAUUGUUAA
Non-coding RNA from Xenopus laevis (African clawed frog), 450 nucleotides. The record is from the annotation of a RefSeq genome assembly. NCBI's taxonomy places the organism in Eukaryota, Metazoa, Chordata, Amphibia, Anura, Pipidae.